Non-coding RNA from Paramuricea clavata, 320 nucleotides. The record is from the annotation of a GenBank genome assembly. NCBI's taxonomy places the organism in Eukaryota, Metazoa, Cnidaria, Anthozoa, Malacalcyonacea, Plexauridae.
UAUAGCCUUGCGAAAUUUGCAAUUUUCAGUCAUUUUGCAUUACAAACGGGAAAUUGAUGCCCAACAUCAGAUUGGGCUGUCAAUUUCCCGUGCGUAAUACAAAAUGACUGAAAAACGGCAAACUUCGCAAGGCUAUAUUAUUAUCCGCAUUUUACAACAUUUCGCAGCGAAACUUUGGAAUAUUACUAAUUUUGUGGUGCUCUUUCAAGCUGUGAUGAAAUUUUUGUCUAGAUCAAAAUUUAGUCUAUAAUGCAAAUGGUCCAUUGAAGAUCCAAAAUGACAAGGUACGAACGCGACUCUUAUACUCUCAUGAAUAUUAC